GAGAAUGUCAUAAUGGUUAUGGGGUUGACUUGAAAUCAACUUUUUGGGGGGUUUGAUUCCUUCCUUUCUUG
Non-coding RNA from Sarcophilus harrisii (Tasmanian devil), 71 nucleotides. The record is from Rfam. Lineage: Eukaryota; Metazoa; Chordata; Mammalia; Dasyuromorphia; Dasyuridae.